Molecule: ribosomal RNA, 446 nt
Filed under: uncultured bacterium
Lineage: Bacteria
Description: partial 16S ribosomal RNA
Rfam family: Bacterial small subunit ribosomal RNA
Source: RNAcentral
CCUACGGGCGGCAGCAGUCGAGAAUCAUUCACAAUGGGGGAAACCCUGAUGGUGCGACGCCGCGUGGAGGAAUGAAGGUCUUCGGAUUGUAAACCCCUGUCAUAUGGGCGCAAAUUAAAAAGAUAGUACCACAAGAAGAAGAGACGGCUAACUCUGUGCCAGCAGCCGCGGUACUACAGAGGUCUCAAGCGUUGUUCGGAAUCACUGGGCGUAAAGCGUGCGUAGGCUGUUUCGUAAGUCGUGUGUGAAAGGCGCGGGCUCAACCCGCGGACGGCACAUGAUACUGCGAGACUAGAGUAAUGGAGGGGGAACCGGAAUUCUCGGUGUAGCAGUGAAAUGCGUAGAUAUCGAGAGGAACACUCGUGGCGAAGGCGGGUUUCUGGACAUUAACUGACGCUGAGGCACGAAGGCGAGGGGAGCGAAAGGGAUUAGAUACCCGGGUAGUC